AGUGAACGCUGGCGGUAGGCCUAACACAUGCAAGUCGAACGGCAGCACAGUAAGAGCUUGCUCUUACGGGUGGCGAGUGGCGGACGGGUGAGGAAUACAUCGGAAUCUACUUUUUCGUGGGGGAUGACGUAGGGAAACUUACGCUAAUACCGCAUACGACCUACGGGUGAAAGCAGGGGAUCUUCGGACCUUGCGCGAUUGAAUGAGCCGAUGUCGGAUUAGCUAGUUGGCGGGGUAAAGGCCCACCAAGGCGACGAUCCGUAGCUGGUCGGAGAGGAUGAUCAGCCACACUGGAACUGAGACACGGUCCAGACUCCUACGGGAGGCAGCAGUGGGGAAUAUUGGACAAUGGGCGCAAGCCUGAUCCAGCCAUACCGCGUGGGUGAAGAAGGCCUUCGGGUUGUAAAGCCCUUUUGUUGGGAAAGAAAAGCAGCAGGUUAAUACCCCGCUGUUCUGACGGUACCCAAAGAAUAAGCACCGGCUAACUUCGUG
RNAcentral lists this ribosomal RNA (492 nucleotides) under uncultured bacterium. RNAcentral's name for it is "partial 16S ribosomal RNA". It matches the Rfam family "Bacterial small subunit ribosomal RNA", at positions 29 to 507 of the family's 1533-position model. The record is from RNAcentral.